Molecule: long non-coding RNA, 684 nt
Organism: Saimiri boliviensis boliviensis (Bolivian squirrel monkey)
Lineage: Eukaryota; Metazoa; Chordata; Mammalia; Primates; Cebidae
Source: RefSeq, a predicted model, not a curated record
GUGACAUCUCUCCAGCCAUGUGGAACUAGCACGGUCAAGUUCACUGCAGGUGCUACCCAGUCAACAUCGAGAACCUGCAUUUAACCAGGCCCAUUUGUCCUCUGCUUAUUACACAUCCUGUUUAAUAAAAAGACGGCUCAAGGACUAUGUAUCUCAAACGCUAACAUCUGACAGGCCGAGAAGCUGGAGAGAGGGGCUCCUGGCUUCUCAAAGAUCAUUUGGUGGUUUGGCAGGAGAACUUGGAGUGAAAGUUUUUCAACUGGUCCAACGGAGACAGACUUGUCAGUAAUCACAGAGAUCUACAGCGUCUUUCACCAAUCUUAAGAAGUAACUUCCCACCCUAUCUGCAUUAUAAUAUCCCACAGCAUAGAGACAGUGACAGUAGCCAAAUUGGUGGAAAUAAGUUCAAGCUUGAAGAAAGAAAGGACUUUGAAUGGCAAUGAGUCAACCACUUCGUCAGUGAAUAUUUUUGUGUUACAAUGACUUCUGCUUCCUUAUACAACUUCUUAACCGCAGGCCACAGGCAUUUUGAGUAUACUUCCAAUUUUGGAAAAAGGAAAAAGUAGCUUUAAAAUGCACAUGGAAGCUUGGAGGAAUAUACUGAAAGGCUGAAGUUCAUGUCUAGGAAUCAGAUGACUGGUGGGUUGCACUGAUAUUUAUUAUUUGUAUUUUUCAGAAGUUUAA